This 686-nucleotide ribosomal RNA is filed under the name uncultured Hyphomicrobiales bacterium. RNAcentral's name for it is "bacterial SSU rRNA". It matches the Rfam family "Bacterial small subunit ribosomal RNA", at positions 116 to 838 of the family's 1533-position model. Lineage: Bacteria; Pseudomonadati; Pseudomonadota; Alphaproteobacteria; Hyphomicrobiales. The record is from RNAcentral.
CGUGGGAAUAUGCCUUUCGGUUCGGAACAACUCGGGGAAACCCGUGCUAAUUCCGGAUACGCCCUUACGGGGAAAGAUUUAUCGCCGAAAGAUUAGCCCGCGUCCGAUUAGCUAGUUGGUGAGGUAAAGGCUCACCAAGGCACCGAUCGGUAGCUGGUUUGAGAGAACGACCAGCCACACUGGGACUGAGACACGGCCCAGACUCCUACGGGAGGCAGCAGUGGGGAAUCUUGGACAAUGGGCGCAAGCCUGAUCCAGCCAUGCCGCGUGAGUGAUGAAGGCCUUCGGGUUGUAAAACUCUUUUGGCGGGGACGAUAAUGACGGUACCCGCAGAAUAAGCUCCGGCUAACUUCGUGCCAGCAGCCGCGGUAAUACGAAGGGGGCUAGCGUUGUUCGGAAUUACUGGGCGUAAAGCGUGCGCAGGCGGCUUCUCAAGUCAGGGGUGAAAGCCCAGAGCUCAACUCUGGAAUUGCCUUUGAGACUGAGUGGCUUGAGUACGAGAGAGGUGAGUGGAAUUCCCAGUGUAGAGGUGAAAUUCGUAGAUAUUGGGAAGAACACCGGUGGCGAAGGCGGCUCACUGGCUCGUAACUGACGCUCAUGCACGACAGCGUGGGGAUCAAACAGGAUUAGAUACCCUGGUAGUCCACGCCGUAAACUAUGAACGCUAGCCGUUGGGUAGCUUGCUA